Molecule: ribosomal RNA, 460 nt
Filed under: uncultured bacterium
Lineage: Bacteria
Description: partial 16S ribosomal RNA
Rfam family: Bacterial small subunit ribosomal RNA
Source: RNAcentral
CCUACGGGAGGCAGCAGUGAGGAAUAUUGGUCAAUGGACGGAAGUCUGAACCAGCCAUGCCGCGUGCAGGAAGACGGCUCUAUGAGUUGUAAACUGCUUUUGUACAAGGGUAAACCUGAAUACGUGUAUUCAGCUGAAAGUACUGUACGAAUAAGGAUCGGCUAACUCCGUGCCAGCAGCCGCGGUAAUACGGAGGAUCCAAGCGUUAUCCGGAUUUAUUGGGUUUAAAGGGUGCGUAGGCGGAUUGAUAAGUUAGAGGUUAAAUGUCCGAGCUUAACUCGGGAACCGCCUCUAAUACUGUUGAUCUAGAGAGUAGAUGCGGUAGGCGGAAUGUAUGGUGUAGCGGUGAAAUGCUUAGAGAUCAUACAGAACACCGAUUGCGAAGGCAGCUUACCAAUCUAUAUCUGACGUUGAGGCACGAAAGCGUGGGGAGCAAACAGGAUUAGAUACCCCAGUAGUC